This is a non-coding RNA of Mus caroli (Ryukyu mouse), 167 nucleotides long. The record is from RefSeq and is a predicted model, not a curated record. NCBI's taxonomy places the organism in Eukaryota, Metazoa, Chordata, Mammalia, Rodentia, Muridae.
CGUGAGUGUUCACCAGGGAGCAGAGGACAGGGAACUCACCACACAGACCUGCUAAUCAUGGACAGGCUGCAGGCCCAAAGUCAGACAAUAGUCUCAGUGCUGCAGGAACGGGCCACACAGGCUGCAGGUCCAGAGAAAGAGAAGUUCAGAAAAGGAGCCGGGGAAGG